AUGUUUGAUGUUCUAACGUGGACCCGUAAUCCGGGUUGCGGACAGUGUCUGGUGGGUAGUUUGACUGGGGCGGUCUCCUCCUAAAGAGUAACGGAGGAGCACGAAGGUUGGCUAAUCCUGGUCGGACAUCAGGAGGUUAGUGCAAUGGCAUAAGCCAGCUUGACUGCGAGCGUGACGGCGCGAGCAGGUGCGAAAGCAGGUCAUAGUGAUCCGGUGGUUCUGAAUGGAAGGGCCAUCGCUCAACGGAUAAAAGGUACUCCGGGGAUAACAGGCUGAUACCGCCCAAGAGUUCAUAUCGACGGCGGUGUUUGGCACCUCGAUGUCGGCUCAUCACAUCCUGGGGCUGAAGUAGGUCCCAAGGGUAUGGCUGUUCGCCAUUUAAAGUGGUACGCGAGCUGGGUUUAGAACGUCGUGAGACAGUUCGGUCCCUAUCUGCCGUGGGCGCUGGAGAACUGAGGGGGGCUGCUCCUAGUACGAGAGGACCGGAGUGGACGCAUCACUGGUGUUCGGGUUGUCAUGCCAAUGGCACUGCCCGGUAGCUAAAUGCGGAAGAGAUAAGUGCUGAAAGCAUCUAAGCACGAAACUUGCCCCGAGAUGAGUUCUCCCUGAGACUU
RNAcentral lists this ribosomal RNA (614 nucleotides) under Salmonella enterica. RNAcentral's name for it is "partial 23S ribosomal RNA". It matches the Rfam family "Bacterial large subunit ribosomal RNA", at positions 2210 to 2823 of the family's 2925-position model. The record is from RNAcentral. Lineage: Bacteria; Pseudomonadati; Pseudomonadota; Gammaproteobacteria; Enterobacterales; Enterobacteriaceae.